Molecule: ribosomal RNA, 52 nt
Filed under: Balansia claviceps
Lineage: Eukaryota; Fungi; Ascomycota; Sordariomycetes; Hypocreales; Clavicipitaceae
Description: partial 5.8S ribosomal RNA
Rfam family: 5.8S ribosomal RNA
About the family: 5.8S ribosomal RNA (5.8S rRNA) is a component of the large subunit of the eukaryotic ribosome. It is transcribed by RNA polymerase I as part of the 45S precursor that also contains 18S and 28S rRNA. Functionally, it is thought that 5.8S rRNA may be involved in ribosome translocation.
Source: RNAcentral
AAACUUUCAACAACGGAUCUCUUGGUUCUGGAAUCGAUGAAGAACGCAGCAA